CCGCCGGGUGGGUUCGACUCCCUCCUCUUUC
Molecule: transfer RNA, 31 nt
Filed under: Pteridomonas danica
Lineage: Eukaryota; Dictyochophyceae; Pedinellales
Description: partial Selenocysteine transfer RNA
Source: RNAcentral